AGAGUUUGAUUAUGGCUCAGGAUGAACGCUAGCGAUAGGCCUAACACAUGCAAGUCGAGGGGCAGCACAUGAGUAGCAAUACGAUGGUGGCGACCGGCGCACGGGUGAGUAACACGUAUGCAACCUACCUUUAACAGGGGAAUAACCCGUUGAAAAACGGACUAAUACUCCAUAACACAGGGGUCCCGCAUGGGAAUAUUUGUUAAAGAUUAAUCGGUUGAAGAUGGGCAUGCGUUCCAUUAGCUUGUUGGUGAGGUAACGGCUCACCAAGGCCACGAUGGAUAGGGGAACUGAGAGGUUUAUCCCCCACACUGGAACUGAGACACGGUCCAGACUCCUACGGGAGGCAGCAGUGAGGAAUAUUGGUCAAUGGAGGCAACUCUGAACCAGCCAAGUCGCGUGAAAGGAUGAAGGUCUUAUGGAUUGUAAACUUCUUUUGCAAGGGAAUAAAGUGGGGGACGUGUCCUCCUUUGCAUGUACCUUGCGAAUAAGGAUCGGCUAACUCCGUGCCAGCCGCAGC
Molecule: ribosomal RNA, 520 nt
Filed under: uncultured bacterium
Lineage: Bacteria
Description: bacterial SSU rRNA
Rfam family: Bacterial small subunit ribosomal RNA
Source: RNAcentral